CCUACGGGAGGCAGCAGUGAGGAAUAUUGGUCAAUGGCCGAGAGGCUGAACCAGCCAAGUCGCGUGAGGGAAGACGGCCCUACGGGUUGUAAACCUCUUUUGUCGGGGAGCAAAGCGAGUCACGUGUGACUCAUUGAGAGUACCCGAAGAAAAAGCAUCGGCUAACUCCGUGCCAGCAGCCGCGGUAAUACGGGGGAUGCGAGCUUUAUCCGGAUUUAUUGGGUUUAAAGGGUGAGCAGGCGGAGGUGCAAGUCAGCGGUCAAAUUGCGGGGCUCAACCCCGUACUGCCGUUGAAACUGCAUGCCUUGAGUGCGCGAGAGGUAUGCGGAAUGCGUGGUGUAGCGGUGAAAUGCAUAGAUAUCACGCAGAACUCCGAUUGCGAAGGCAGCAUACCGGCGCGCAACUGACGCUCAUGCACGAAAGCGUGGGUAUCGAACAGGAUUAGAUACCCCUGUAGUC
Molecule: ribosomal RNA, 459 nt
Filed under: uncultured bacterium
Lineage: Bacteria
Description: partial 16S ribosomal RNA
Rfam family: Bacterial small subunit ribosomal RNA
Source: RNAcentral